CGGUAACUUUUACAAAAGGUUGGAUUUCAUUCAACUUUUUACGGUUGUAAUUUUUUGGUUGAAUCGUUAUAAUUUUAUUAAGAGACAUGAUUCUUAUUCUUUAUAUUUUUACAUUUAUUCCAACAUAUUCCAGGGUAUCCAAUACUUUAAGGGCACAUUUACUAAUCUGUAAUCAGAUUGAGAGAAAUUGAAUUGAAAAGGAAUUGAAUUCAGGAGGAAUUGGAAUGAGGUGGAGUCAGAAUCAGAUUACUGUUGAAGUUGUUUACUAAAACUGUCUGGAAUCGGAGUAAGAAUGACAUUGAUCUAUAUAAAUCGUUUACUAAUUCACUUGAAUCGGAAUGAAAACUAAUGUGAUUACUAAAAUAACCCUAGUUUAAUUAAUCUAUUUUCUAUGCUAAUUAUUUUUAAACUUUUAUCUUUCAUUUUUUUUUUUUAGUAUUCCUUCUUAUCAUUCACGCUUUCAAAAACCCUCUAGAAACUCUGCAACUUCAAUUUCCCAAAAACUCUUCUUCUCAUUCUUUCAUUUUUCCAAUUUUUUUGUGACCCUCGGUCUCUCCCUCUCUUCCCCGUCUUUCCCGACCUACCCAUUUCUAAAAUUUCCCCAUCAUUCUCUGCUGCCGACGUACUGCCGACCUACUCCUUUUUAAAAUAUUUUUCUCUGUUGCCGACCCACCCCAUGUUUGCGAAGAACCUUUCAUGCUCCCACCCUCCAUGUCCCAGGCUUAAUUUUUUUUUACCCCAAUUUUGAGUUUCCUAGUUGAGGUAGUGAAUGAGUUUUUAACCAUGGAGUCGGCGUAUCGAAGAGUCGAAAUGAGAAUAUAUCAGAAUAGGGACAUGAAUCGGGUUUGGGAUAAACAACAGCUGACUGAAGGCAAGAAGGAAGAUGGACCUUGAAAGCUCCAAUCCCAAGUCGCGAAACGAAGAGAAAUUGGAGAAGAAGUUGCAAGGAGUCCACUGAGAGAGAAGCAAGAGUGUUGAAGUCGCAGGGCUGUUUUAGGAUAUAAAAAGAAGUACAAGGGCACUUUAGGAAGAAAAGUUUGAUUACUAAUGGACCAUUUCUUCCAGAAUUCAAUUACCACCUAUAUCUUGGUAAUCGGAUUCUGGGCAAAUCCCGAAUUGAAUUCCCCAUUUUGGGUGCACCCCACCUUUGUUUUCAUUCCCUAUAUACAAUAAACACAUGAAUGCAUUUGAAGGAAUGCAAUUCCGAUUCUAGUUACCUCAUUCCCAUUUCAUAAACACGCCAUAAUAGUUGUAGUCGUUUAAUUCUUAGUUAAAAAUAUAAUGAUGUUGUGAACUUUCCUAGUUUAAGUGUAAUUGUGUAAAUUCUAGAUUAGAUUUGAUUCUAGUUAUUCUUUCCUAUAUGGACUUGUAUUCUUUGGGGAUGAAGGAUUUCUUCUCUCCUUUUACUACUAUAAAUAAAGGCACUACGUAGGGGAUAACAAAUCCUCAACACACAAUUCCCCUACGAUUCUACAAACACAUCUCUUCUCUCUCUACCCUUGUCGCCGGCCUUCUCCUUCUUGUCAGAUAAAAUAGGCUACAACAUGUUAUCAUCACGCUCCUACCACUGCGCUUAGGAAUCUGAUUUUGAAGAUUUUCUGCAUCAAACCAGUUUGUCCAUAUCAUCACACAAUCAGGUUCUUCCAAAACAACGGUUUUUAUCUCGAUAUUUUUGCAGCCCUGAUGGCAUGAACAUUUACCAUAAUGCAUUACCUAACUUUAUGUUUUUCGAAUUUUAGAUUCUACAUAAAUUGUGUAUGCCUUAUAUUCAUAAUUGUUGAAUUAUGUGAAUUUGAUAUUGCCAUGAAUUGCAUCUAUAUAUGUACAUGCAUUAUAAUAUUUGAAUUGAAUUGAAAAAGAAAAAAAAAACAAAAGAAAUCGGAAAAGGCAACCUGGGUUCUUCGAACCCAUGACCUCGAGCCAUUCAACCAAGUAUGCAGCUUGGAUGGCCGAGCCGUGCCAAGCCGCGAGUUCCCCAGUCGGAGCCGAUGGCUCAAGGACUAAAACCCAGUAACCCCGACGCCUUUCACGGUGUAUUCUUCUGUUGCAGGUUGGCUUGUAGCCAACCCCACCCACGGGUCAUCAUGUUUUUUAUGACCUGAAGUUCGUCCUCGACACCAAUUGAUCGAUAUUCCUUCGAAUCUCGUGGGAAUUUUUCUAAUUUUCCGAUUUGUUUUCUAGGGUUUUGAUAGAACGUUGAGAUUUCUCAAUCUCCGUUCUUAUUUAUGGUUUCCAUUGACCCAUGAACUCGCCCCGAGCAUUGUUGUCCCAAAGCACGGCUG
This 2282-nucleotide long non-coding RNA is filed under the name Malus domestica (apple). RNAcentral describes it as "long non-coding RNA (MDOM_LNC009952)". The record is from RNAcentral. Lineage: Eukaryota; Viridiplantae; Streptophyta; Magnoliopsida; Rosales; Rosaceae.